GCGGCGGUCGUUUAAUGGUAGGACUCUAGCCUUCCAAGCUAGAAGCGAGGGUUCGAUUCCCUCUCGCCGCACCA
RNAcentral lists this transfer RNA (74 nucleotides) under Methylacidiphilales bacterium. RNAcentral describes it as "Candidatus Methylacidiphilales bacterium tRNA-Gly". It matches the Rfam family "tRNA". Rfam says of the family: Transfer RNA (tRNA) molecules are approximately 80 nucleotides in length. The record is from RNAcentral. Lineage: Bacteria; Pseudomonadati; Verrucomicrobiota; Methylacidiphilae; Methylacidiphilales.